UACGAAGGGGGCUAGCGUUGCUCGGAAUCACUGGGCGUAAAGCGCACGUAGGCGGAUUUCUAAGUCAGGGGUGAAAUCCUGGAGCUCAACUCCAGAACUGCCUUUGAUACUGGGAAUCUCGAGUCCGGGAGAGGUGAGUGGAACUGCGAGUGUAGAGGUGAAAUUCGUAGAUAUUCGCAAGAACACCAGUGGCGAAGGCGGCUCACUGGCCCGAUACUGACGCUGAGGCACGAAAGCGUGGGGAGCAAACAGG
This 253-nucleotide ribosomal RNA is filed under the name uncultured bacterium. RNAcentral describes it as "partial 16S ribosomal RNA". It matches the Rfam family "Bacterial small subunit ribosomal RNA", at positions 524 to 776 of the family's 1533-position model. The record is from RNAcentral.